CGGACUGAUUAGAGCGGCGGACGGGUGAGUAAUGCUUGGGAAUCUACCUAGUAGUGGGGGACAACAGUUGGAAACGACUGCUAAUACCGCAUACGCCCUACGGGGGAAAGGGGGGGAUCUUCGGACCUCUUGCUAUUAGAUGAGCCCAAGUCGGAUUAGCUAGUUGGUAAGGUAAUGGCUUACCAAGGCGACGAUCCGUAGCUGGUUUGAGAGGAUGAUCAGCCACACUGGGACUGAGACACGGCCCAGACUCC
RNAcentral lists this ribosomal RNA (254 nucleotides) under uncultured bacterium. Its description in RNAcentral is "partial 16S ribosomal RNA". It matches the Rfam family "Bacterial small subunit ribosomal RNA", at positions 82 to 339 of the family's 1533-position model. The record is from RNAcentral.